UGGUAAUGCAAGUGUUGCUAA
RNAcentral lists this microRNA (21 nucleotides) under Populus trichocarpa (black cottonwood). RNAcentral describes it as "ptc-miR7813". The record is from miRBase by way of RNAcentral. Lineage: Eukaryota; Viridiplantae; Streptophyta; Magnoliopsida; Malpighiales; Salicaceae.